RNAcentral lists this ribosomal RNA (353 nucleotides) under Shigella flexneri. Its description in RNAcentral is "bacterial LSU rRNA". It matches the Rfam family "Bacterial large subunit ribosomal RNA", at positions 134 to 527 of the family's 2925-position model. The record is from RNAcentral. Lineage: Bacteria; Pseudomonadati; Pseudomonadota; Gammaproteobacteria; Enterobacterales; Enterobacteriaceae.
UGAUUCGUCACACUAUCAUUAACUGAAUCCAUAGGUUAAUGAGGCGAACCGGGGGAACUGAAACAUCUAAGUACCCCGAGGAAAAGAAAUCAACCGAGAUUCCCCCAGUAGCGGCGAGCGAACGGGGAGCAGCCCAGAGCCUGAAUCAGUGUGUGUGUUAGUGGAAGCGUCUGGAAAGGCGUGCGAUACAGGGUGACAGCCCCGUACACAAAAAUGCACAUACUGUGAGCUCGAUGAGUAGGGCGGGACACGUGGUAUCCUGUCUGAAUAUGGGGGGACCAUCCUCCAAGGCUAAAUACUCCUGACUGACCGAUAGUGAACCAGUACCGUGAGGGAAAGGCGAAAAGAACCCC